This 169-nucleotide unclassified non-coding RNA is filed under the name uncultured fungus. RNAcentral describes it as "sequence contains ITS1, 5.8S rRNA gene". Lineage: Eukaryota; Fungi. The record is from RNAcentral.
ACGAAGUACAGGCCCUCUCGUAGGGCUAAACUUCCACCCUCUGUUAACUAUACUUUGUUGCUUUGGCGAGACGCCUUCGGGCCACCGGCUUCGGCUGGUGCGCGCUCGCCAGAGAAAACCCAAACCCAAACCAUUUUUAGUGUCGUCUGAAAACAAGUUUAAAUUAUUA